CACACAUGUAGUGAUUGACAAGGUUGUCUGC
This 31-nucleotide non-coding RNA is filed under the name Homo sapiens (human). The record is from RNAcentral. Lineage: Eukaryota; Metazoa; Chordata; Mammalia; Primates; Hominidae.